This is a long non-coding RNA of Mus musculus (house mouse), 3444 nucleotides long. RefSeq annotates it as predicted gene, 34244. The record is from RefSeq and is a predicted model, not a curated record. The transcript has 3 exons. NCBI's taxonomy places the organism in Eukaryota, Metazoa, Chordata, Mammalia, Rodentia, Muridae.
CAAGAUUUCCAAGGAAUUAUUACUGGCAAGCCACGUGACAGAAACCAGUGUGAGGAGUACUCAAGACACUACAAGGGUGCUUGGAUAGGACAGAACUUUUUCAGCAGCUAAUCUUGGAUCACGGAGUCCUUCAAAGGCAGCUGUUUCACUGCGGUCAGAGACUGAAUCUUAAGUCAACCAGACCUUUUGAUGAAAUCCAAAUGGACUUCUGGGCACAUUUUCUAAGGAAACUACAGGAAGAAAGUUAGUGUGGCAUUUGAAACAUCCAUUUCUAAUUGAAACAUUGAAUCAUAUCAUGCAAGUCAGACAAACUCAAUUCUGAACACCACAAAUAUGGAGCAUGCACACCGACAAUGCUCAACUGAGAAGUGCUCAUUCAAACGCUGGUCCAAGCUCUUUACACUUGAUUCAUGUGACUGCUGCAGGAAAUUGCUUCAAAGCGGUUGGUUUAAGACAACAGAAACUGAUGAUUUCAUUGCCAGGUGGCACUGAACUUAAAUCAGUGCUUAAGUAGGAUUGGGUCCUUCUGCAGACUCUGAGCAAGAGAAUGUCCCAUAUCCCUCUCUGGGUUUCUGUUGGUGGCCCUCAACCCUUGGCACUCAUUGGUUUGUUGGUGCCUCACACUAACUGCAUUCAUCUUCUCCUGGUGUCUAGUUUGUGGGUCUUCUCUCCUCUUUUCCAUUUGGAAGACCAUUUGCAUUGCAUUGGGUGCCCAUCUGAGCCCAGAAUGAGCUUGUCUGGGUACCACUCUUCAAAGAAGAUCAAAAUCAUGGUAUCUGUAUGGCAGAUAGUUUAAUUAUUAGUUUUUAAACAUUUAUUGGAUUUAUUCUGGGAUAAUUUCACGAGUAUAAAGUGUGUUCUGAUUACUUGAAUCCCCCACUCUUUCUUGACUUCCAUCCUAAUCCCCCCACAAUUCAAUUCCCUUUCAAAGAUUUUUUUUCCAGACCAAUUGAAUCUAAGCAAGUUCUGUAUGACCAUGGGUGUGGAACUAUCCAUUAGAGGUCAGUGAAUCAUUAGUUGGUGUACAACUAAAGAUAAUGACUGCUACAUCAGAAUUUAUCAGUAUCAAAUACAUCAGCAGAGAGAGUUAGGGCCCCAGGGGCUCCUCCACAAUCUGCAACAGACUAUUACUAGGCCCAGACUUGUAUAAGCCCAUUGCAGAGUUGUUGUGAAGUCAUGAUUGAGUUGGGUGUGCCAUGCACAGAAGAUGGAAUUUUAUACAUCUUUGUUUCCUAUCUUCUGGUUUAAGAAAUAUUUUGAUUAAUUCUUUGAGAAUUUGCACAACCUGUUUUGACCAUAUUUAUUCCCUGACUCAACUCUUCCAAGAUCCUUCCUUUCCCUCCCUUAUUUCCUUUUCCUCCCUUAUUCAUCCAACUUUGUGUGUUCUUCCUUUCUCUCUCCUCUCUAUAGCCAUUAUAUACCCAUAUAUAUCUACAUCUAUCUAUCUAUCUAUCUAUCUAUCUAUCUAUCUAUCUAUCUAUCUAUCUAUAUAUGUGGGUAUAUAUAUAUAUAUAUACACACACACACAUACCCAUACACAUGCACACACACACACAUAAUAUAUAUACUAGACAUUAAGUCCAAUUUGUGCUGCCCAUAUAUUCUUAGAUGUACAGUCAUCCCCUGGAGCAUGAUCAACUUACCAGUGGCAAUACUGUUGAAGAAUAUUGAUUCUCCCUCUCCCAGAAACUACCAGAUUCAAGUGCUCCUUAGCUAGGAGUGAGAAUUUGUGCCCACCUUCCUUCUCCAUGCUGGGAUUUGGUCGGGCUUGAGCUUGCACAGGCUUUGUGCAUGCUAUUGAUAUUGCCAUAAGUUUAUAUGUAGAACUGCCCUGCUCUGUCUGGAAGAUUGUGUUUCUUUGUGAUCAUUUACCACCCUUGAUUUUAUAGUUUGCUCUCUCUUCCAGAAGCUUGCUCCCUUAUAGAACCCAAGACUACCAGCCCAGGUAUGGCACCACCCACAAUGGGCCCUCCCCCUUGAUUGCCAAUUAAGAAAAAGCCUUAUAGCUGGAUCUCAUGGAGGCAUUUCCUCACUUGAAGCUCCUUUCUCUGUAAUAACUCCAUCCUGUGUCAAGUUGACACCCAAAACCAGCCAGUACAAUCCCUGAGACUUGGGAAGGAUUGUGUUAUAAAUGCCCCAUUUAGAGGUGAGAAUUCUGCAAUCUGUUAUUUUCUAUACCUUGAGUAGUUGUGGGUCUUGUGUUAACCACCAUCUACUGCAAAUAGAAGCUUCUCUAAGGGUCAAGGUACAUAUUAUUCUAUGGCUAUAAUGAUAUCUCAUGAAGAGUCAGUUUAAUACUUCAUAUCUCUGGCAGAAUAAUAGUAUUUGAUUCUCCUCUAUGGUCUAUGGCCUGUUUAUCUACCAGUUCUUGGCUUGCAAUCUUGUCAAGUAUGGGUUUCAUUCCAUGGAAAGGACUUAAAUCUGACCAGAAUGGUUGCUCAUUUCCAUGUUAGUUAGAGUAUUACUGUACAAGUCGGUAUGCCUUGCCAGGCCAGUUGUUGUUAUAACUCCCAGGGUUCAUAAUUGGAUAAGUAUCAUCAAUGAUUUUUCUCCCUCAGACAGUGAGCAUGACACCUUUCAGCACUACGAAAGCUAGCUGGCAGGGAUGCAGCUUCCAGGUCAGUACCAGCUUUACAUCUCCAUGCUAUGUUACUUAAAUAUGUGGUGUCUUCAGCAAUAGGGAUUUACUGUCAUAUUCUAGAGGGUAGCCAAGAGUAAUGGCAGUAGCUUGUAAUGUUCGCACAUUUAGAGACCUCACUGGCUGAAGAAACUUUACCUUUCUCAAUAUUUUAUUUAAUAGCCUAUGGUAUUUACUGGGGUGAUUUUCAUCCUGAUAUAGAUGAAAAUAUUUUACCAUAUAUACCUUUAACAUGUGCAUGUGUGUAUAUGUACACACACAUACAAACACACACACACACACCCACACACACAAAGAGACAUUUCUACAGUAGUAGAUAGUUUUCUAUAUGGCUUUUAAGACAGAUCUUUAGUGUUCUUUAUCCCUCCUGAUUUCUUUCUUCUACCCUGUCCUCAUCCUAGCUUCCAGCCCAAUUCAAUGCCAUUCUUUUAUUUCCCCUUUAAGCCUGUAUAGUAACACAUUCUAUCUCCCCUCCCUUGAAAGACCUGCCCUAUCCUCAGAUGCUCAGUAAUUUCCUGACCUCUAUGGGUAUUCCAAAUGAAACACAAUGGUUUCAAAGCUAGCAUCCACAACUGAGAGAAGGCAUGUGGUGUCUGUCUUUCUGAGACUGGGCUACCUCUCCCUGAAUGAUUAGUUCAGCUCCAUCUGUUUAUGGAUAUAUUUUAUAAGUGGAUUUUUUUCCUUAGUAAAUUGAAUAACUUCCCUGUCUGUAAAUAUAUCACAUCCUCAUUACCCACUGACCAGCUGAUGCAUGUCUUGACUGUACUCAUUGCUUGACUAUUUUAAAUAAAGCAUCGAUAAACAUG